GACGAACGCUGGCGGCGUGCCUAACACAUGCAAGUGGAGCGACGAACCAGGCUUCGGCCUGGGGCAAAGCCGCGAACGGGUGAGUAACACGUGGGUAACCUGCCCUGAUGAUUGGGACAACCCGAGGAAACUCGGGCUAAUACCAAAUGUGCCCUUCGGCCAUAAGGCCGCCGGGAAAGGAAGCUUCGGCCUCCGCAUCUGGAUGGGCCCGCGGCCCAUUAGCUUGUUGGUGAGGUAACGGCUCACCAAGGCGACGAUGGGUAGCUGGUCUGAGAGGACGAUCAGCCACACUGGGACUGAGACACGGCCCAGACUCCUACGGGAGGCAGCAGUGGGGAAUCUUGCGCAAUGCGCGAAAGCGUGACGCAGCAACGCCGCGU
Molecule: ribosomal RNA, 380 nt
Filed under: uncultured bacterium
Lineage: Bacteria
Description: bacterial SSU rRNA
Rfam family: Bacterial small subunit ribosomal RNA
Source: RNAcentral